This 460-nucleotide ribosomal RNA is filed under the name uncultured bacterium. RNAcentral's name for it is "partial 16S ribosomal RNA". It matches the Rfam family "Bacterial small subunit ribosomal RNA", at positions 338 to 795 of the family's 1533-position model. The record is from RNAcentral.
CCUACGGGCGGCAGCAGUGAGGAAUAUUGGUCAAUGGACGAGAGUCUGAACCAGCCAAGUAGCGUGAAGGAUGACUGCCCUAUGGGUUGUAAACUUCUUUUAUAUGGGAAUAAAAUGUUCCACGUGUGGGAUUUUGUAUGUAACAUAUGAAUAAGGAUUGGCUAAGUCCGUGCCAGCAGCCGCGGUAAUACGGAGGAUCGGAGCGUUUUCCGGAUUUAUUGGGGUUAAAGGGAGCGUAGGUGGAUUGUUAAGUCAGUUGUGAAAGUUUGCGGCUCAACCGUAAAAUUGCAGUUGAAACUGGCAGUCUUGAGUACAGUAGAGGUGGGCGGAAUUCGUGGUGUAGCGGUGAAAUGCUUAGAUAUCACGAAGAACUCCGAUUGCGAAGGCAGUUCACUGGACUGCAACUGACACUGAGGCACGAAAGUGUGGGUAUCGAACAGGAUUAGAUACCCCAGUAGUC